GAUGAAGAACGUAGUGAAAUGCGAUAAGUAAUGUGAAUUGCAGAAUUCAGUGAAUCAUCGAAUCUUUGAACGCACAUUGCGCCCGCCAGUAUUCUGGCGGGCAUGCCUGUUCGAGCGUCAUUACAACCCUCAGGCCCCCGGGCCUGGCGUUGGGGAUCGGCGGAAGCCCCCUGCGGGCACAACGCCGUCCCCCAAAUACAGUGGCGGUCCCGCCGCAGCUUCCAUUGCGUAGUAGCUAACACCUCGCAACUGGAGAGCGGCGCGGCCACGCCGUAAAACAUCCAACUUCUGAAUGUUGACCUCGAAUCAGGUAGGAAUACCCGCUGAACUUAAGCAUAUCAAUAAGCGGAGGA
This 353-nucleotide unclassified non-coding RNA is filed under the name soil metagenome. RNAcentral describes it as "partial contains 5.8S ribosomal RNA, internal transcribed spacer 2, and large subunit ribosomal RNA". The stretch from base 1 to 120 matches the Rfam family "5.8S ribosomal RNA", at positions 35 to 154 of the family's 154-position model. The record is from RNAcentral.